Long non-coding RNA from Cygnus olor (mute swan), 669 nucleotides. RefSeq lists it as uncharacterized. NCBI's taxonomy places the organism in Eukaryota, Metazoa, Chordata, Aves, Anseriformes, Anatidae. The record is from RefSeq and is a predicted model, not a curated record. The transcript has 3 exons.
GUAUCUGGCAUCUGGACUUGUAUUUGUCUGUGUGCUCGACGACUACGUGGUUCGAGUACUUUUUUUCGUGGGCGCUGUUCUCCAUAACGUAUCUAUUCAAAGUUCUCGGUUGCCACCAUAAGAAAACGUUCCAGAAAAAUCGUUGUGCUUUCUGUAGAGCUGUCGUUUGUAUGGGUGGGAGCUGCAUGUGAGGUGCCACGUAGUGUCUGUCAGAAAUACCAGAUGGGCUAAUGCAGGACAUGUCCAGCAACACUGAGUAUUGUGAUAGUAGUUGUGACAGUGCACAAUGCAGAACAGUGAUCUCCAGGAAGCAAGCAAGACAGCAUCCAUACUGCUUGCAAUUAACCCAUCUCUGCCUGAACUAGAAAACUAUUAAUGGAAACUACACUGCAAAAUUAAGGCAUUAAAACAGAUCACUACUGGAAACCAUUGCUUCAAGGAAAGCACGACUAUUAGAAGAACAAAUUGGAGCUCUUGGCCUGGAUGAUAUGGGAUCAUGACAGCGUUGGUUUAGAAUUUAAAUGGUGCUGGAGAGAAGGCAGUCUGCAUUCUGAAGAUUUGGGUAUGUGGAUUUCACCUGGAUCCAAAUUGAAGUGGAAGUUGAAUAGUCUGAAUCUCCCCCUUAAUGAAUGAUACACAAUGUGUUUCAUUAUAUGGAUUCAAGAGUAG